This 465-nucleotide ribosomal RNA is filed under the name uncultured bacterium. RNAcentral describes it as "partial 16S ribosomal RNA". It matches the Rfam family "Bacterial small subunit ribosomal RNA", at positions 338 to 795 of the family's 1533-position model. The record is from RNAcentral.
CCUACGGGAGGCAGCAGUGGGGAAUAUUGCGCAAUGGGCGAAAGCCUGACGCAGCGACGCCGCGUGAGGGAUGAAGGUCUUCGGAUCGUAAACCUCUGUCAGCAGGGAAGAACGGUAACUGUGCUAAUCAGCAGUGACUUGCCAGUUACUGCCCAGCAACCACCGGCUAACUUCGUGCCAGCAGCCGCGGUAAUACGGAGGGUGCGAGCGUUAGUCGGAAUUACUGGGCGUAAAGCGAGCGUAGGCGGUAUGUCAAGUCCAGGGUGAAAUCUCUGCGCUUAACGUGGGAACUGCCUUUGAAACUGGCAAACUGGAGUGUAGGAGAGGAUAGUGGAAUUCCAGGUGUAGGAGUGAAAUGCGUAGAUAUUUGGAGGAACACCAGUGGCGAAGGCGACUAUCUGGCACAUAACUGACGUUGAGGAGCGAAAGCGUGGGGAGCAAACAGGAUUAGAUACCCGAGUAGUC